Molecule: ribosomal RNA, 269 nt
Filed under: uncultured bacterium
Lineage: Bacteria
Description: partial 16S ribosomal RNA
Rfam family: Bacterial small subunit ribosomal RNA
Source: RNAcentral
GAGCACGUAGGUGGGUUUGUAAGUCAGAUGUGAAAGCCUUCUGUUCAACGGAAGAAUUGCAUCUGAAACUGCGAGUCUUGAGUGUAGGAGGGGAGAAUGGAACUUCUGGUGGAGCGGUGAAAUGCGUAGAUAUCAGAAGGAACGCCGGCGGCGAAAGCGAUUCUCUGGCCUAUUACUGACACUGAGUGUGCGAAAGCUAGGGGAGCAAACGGGAUUAGAUACCCCGGUAGUCCUAGCCGUAAACGAUGGGCACUAAGUAGAGGGGUUUU